RNAcentral lists this long non-coding RNA (1784 nucleotides) under Junco hyemalis (dark-eyed junco). RNAcentral's name for it is "lncRNA (ENSJHYG00000015767.1)". The record is from RNAcentral. Lineage: Eukaryota; Metazoa; Chordata; Aves; Passeriformes; Passerellidae.
UUUCCUUCCUUUUGUAAUCAGGGUUUUAGAUAACCAAACUUUCCUCUUAUUCUACAGUUUCUUUCAGAAAGGUGGAGAUGUGCAGAAGGGGCUGCAUGAAGUGAGAUGAAAUUUGGGGCAGCUUUUUAAAUUUAGAGAACAAGAAAGGACCCUGAAUUUGAUGCAUCCACAUCACAUCUGUUACCUGGAAUCCACAGUUUGUGAGCUCUGUUCCCAGUUGGGAGAAGUGAAGAGGAUCUGUGAAAACAAGGUCCAAGACCUUGAGAAGCAGUUCUACCUAGCUCAUUCUGAGACAGCAGAAGCUCAGACAGGCAGCACUCAGAAUUCCAAACUGAGGACCAGUGUUAUUUCGCAGACAAGAAAUACAGGACGUGGAAGCCCCAUGCAGAGUGUCAAGGAUGAGAAAGAAGCCAGAAUAUGUGAAAUGGAGGCCAAGCUGAGCAAACUGGAGCUGGAAAAGGUUCAACUGGUUAGCACAUGCACCAAGAGGCUCCAGGCACUGAAUUAUACAAAACUGGAAAAAGAUGAUCUCCUGCAGGAACUCUGGGCUGGCCAGAGGGAGCUAGCUGGCCCUGCAGGCAUCCCUGCAGUUUGCUGAGUGCCAGUGCAUCGUGCAGUGCCAGGAGCAGGAAGCCAUGCAGGCUGCAGCACACCUUGGAUGUGAGAGCGAGUGCCUUCCUGGGAAGUGUGGGCCCAGCCUCAGGUUCAUUUGCUUUGGGGCCUGGCUUUAGGUUUAACCUCUUCUGUGCCAACAGCUCUCAAAAGUCUGUGUUCUGAAACCCUUUUCUGUGUGGAAUUCCUCAGUGCUGCACAUGUCCAUAAUUCCAGGUUUUUGGAGUGCUAUUUCCAGUAAUGACAACAAAAUAUUAGAUGGAGUCCAAUCCCUGUCUAUACUCCUUAGAUGGACAGAGGAUAUUUUUUACUUUUGCCUUAUUUCUAACCAUGGACUCUUCAGGCUGCAGUGAGGCUACUGCUCUAAAUGAAGGGUACCUUGAGAGCAGCAGUUUAAUCACAAGAAGUUAUCGUUCAUUUUAGUGACCCACCCCAGCUGCUGGCUUUGGGAGAGGAACAGAGUGCUAUAUUCAAAAUACAAUUCUACAUAAGCAAUACAAAAAGUGCUUCAGAGGAUGAAUGACCAAGGUGGGGAACUUUUAUUGUUUUUCCCCAGGAGCUGCAGGGCCCAGGCUACUCCUCAGCUUCUGCCUCAGGGAAGCUGCAGCACUCUGUGCCUCGGUCCCACCUGCUCUCUGCUGUCUGGCCACAUGCCCUGCACCUGCCCCGCUCUGCCCCCCAGGUGAGUGCCUGCCUCAGCAUGGACACCAGCACGUCCCAAACAGCAAAAAUAACAUGGAAUUCCUUCAGGGAAGAGCAUCUGCUCAGAGCAUCUGAGAGCAAAUUCCUAACGCCCAAGGUGAAAUAAUUCCUGUAGCUUCGCAUGUGCUGGGUCCUUUCAGAUUUUUUUUUUUGGUGCAAAAAACAAUGUGACAACUAUAAAAUCCUAUAGCCUGUGCUAAGUUCAUCUUACCUCUUCCACAAAUGACAUUCAUGAACUAUUAAGUCUGAAGGUAAGUAGUUUGGUUUUCACUUUUUUUUUGCUGUUUAUCACAUUUGACAGUGAAAAUAGAUUUGUGCUUAGUUGUUGAAACAUUUAAUCAUCUGCUUGAUAUUUGAAUCUUCCUCCAACCUGGCUUUUAUGAUUUUGAUCAGUUUUAUCCACACCGUUUUUCUUCCUUUUGAUUUUGUACGUCUACCUUUAGAUUGAAAUAAAAUACACUGAUUUUUCA